GCCCCCGUAGCUCAGCGGCAGAGCGUUCCCUUGGUAAGGGAGAGGUCACGAGUUCAAUUCUCGUCGGGGGCUCCA
Molecule: transfer RNA, 75 nt
Filed under: Armatimonadota bacterium
Lineage: Bacteria; Bacillati; Armatimonadota
Also listed under: 1 other name
Description: Armatimonadetes bacterium (activated sludge metagenome) tRNA-Thr
Rfam family: tRNA
About the family: Transfer RNA (tRNA) molecules are approximately 80 nucleotides in length.
Source: RNAcentral